GGGCCUCUAGCUCAACUGGCAGAGCAACUGACUCUUAAUCAGUGGGUUCCGAGUUCGAGUCUCGGGAGGCUCA
This 73-nucleotide transfer RNA is filed under the name Pseudomonadota bacterium. RNAcentral's name for it is "tRNA-Lys". It matches the Rfam family "tRNA". From Rfam's summary of the family: Transfer RNA (tRNA) molecules are approximately 80 nucleotides in length. Their secondary structure includes four short double-helical elements and three loops (D, anti-codon, and T loops). Further hydrogen bonds mediate the characteristic L-shaped molecular structure. tRNAs have two regions of fundamental functional importance: the anti-codon, which is responsible for specific mRNA codon recognition, and the 3' end, to which the tRNAs corresponding amino acid is attached (by aminoacyl-tRNA synthetases). tRNAs cope with the degeneracy of the genetic code in two manners: having more than one tRNA (with a specific anti-codon) for a particular amino acid; and 'wobble' base-pairing, i.e. permitting non-standard base-pairing at the 3rd anti-codon position. RNAcentral also lists the same sequence under 2 other names. Lineage: Bacteria; Pseudomonadati; Pseudomonadota. The record is from RNAcentral.